GGACCUACGGGAGGCAGCAGUAGGGAAUCUUCCACAAUGGACGAAAGUCUGAUGGAGCAACGCCGCGUGAGUGGAGAAGGGUUUCGGCUCGUAAAGCUCUGUUGGUAGUGAAGAAAGAUAGAGGUAGUAACUGGCCUUUAUUUGACGGUAAUUACUUAGAAAGUCACGGCUAACUACGUGCCAGCAGCCGCGGUAAUACGUAGGUGGCAAGCGUUGUCCGGAUUUAUUGGGCGGAAAGCGAGUGCAGGCGG
RNAcentral lists this ribosomal RNA (251 nucleotides) under uncultured bacterium. Its description in RNAcentral is "partial 16S ribosomal RNA". It matches the Rfam family "Bacterial small subunit ribosomal RNA", at positions 333 to 578 of the family's 1533-position model. The record is from RNAcentral.